AUUAUAAAGAAUGAUGACCUCAAAGACAAAGAGCUCCAAGAACUCGGUUCUGAAACUUUUGGUUAGUCUGAGUAAUGAAAUGUGACCCUACUGAAAGUUCUACCUCAUUUCAGUUCUUCUCUUUUCCAUUUAAUUAUCUAUUUCAUUCCAAGUUAAUUGUCUUACAUACCUAUAUCUUUCAAUGCAAGACUACACGAGGACUAUGGUCUAUGGGAUAUCAAGCUCCUUCAAAUAAUCUGCACCAGUUCUUCUGGAGAAUAAUGUGUAUGCAUGGUCUACAAUGGAGUUUACAAGAUAGAUUCACUUACUCAAAGAUUCAGCCUAACAUUUUCCAUAAGGAUUAUGAUUAUGUAUGUUAUACCAACUCUCAGUAAUCUCUACUACUAAU
Molecule: long non-coding RNA, 388 nt
Filed under: Triticum aestivum (bread wheat)
Lineage: Eukaryota; Viridiplantae; Streptophyta; Magnoliopsida; Poales; Poaceae
Description: long non-coding RNA (TAES_LNC023311)
Source: RNAcentral